UUUAGUUUCAGAUUCAAAGAAGAAGAGAGGUCUGCUAGGGUUUAUAGAUUCAAUUUCAAUCAACGCCAUUUACUCAUCUUCUUCCUCUGCUGUAUCUCUGGUUCGCCUAUUCUUGCCGCCACAACACGCAUCAGACGCCGCCGCUCCCUGCGUCCGCCGCCACUCCUCACAGACUCGGAGGAACGAACUAUCAGUAUCACCACCCUGUUAAAUUUCGCAGAGAAAGAACGAGAACCAGAGCGACCCUUGAUGACACUGAAAUAGGACAACUUUUCUCAACCCUACUUCUUGUUGAGGACGACAAACCCAGCAAGGAAGUAGAGGAAAGUGUAAAAGUGCUAAAAGAUGCAGCUAAGACGAGAAAGGUAGCAGCAGAGAAGGUUCUGUCUGCACUUUCUGUCAUUGAGAAAGCGAAAAUUGAUCCUUCUGGCUUUCUUGAAACCCUGGGUGGCAAUGAAUCCCCUGGGAGGACAUGAAUGCUAAUUUUCACCGCUGAAGUGAACAUAUUUGUAUUACUUUUUUGUUUGCUCGUUCUUUGGCUAGUAGUUUGAUCAUGGCCUUGACAUUUGUUUUCAGUCUAUGGAGUAUGUAGUGAUAAAAUUAUGAUUCUUCCUCAGCUUAAUUUGCUCUGUGCUGCAUUAUUAUGAUUAUUGUUAUUGCUUUGCUCUCACAAAUAUAUUAAUGUUUUUGACGGCUCUGAUAUGUCAAUUCAAGUGAUUCUUGGGUUAUUAUAGUGUCACAAUCAUUCACACUAGAUUGCAGCAUGGCCAUCACGACUUCAUACACAGUUAUGAAUUAUGAUGGGAGCAAGUAAGCUAAAUCUUGGAGACAAACCCAGAGCAAUGAAGCUAGUAGACUAUUCCGUUCAAAAACUAUAUCUUGCGCAGCUUUGGAUGGCUAUUGAAAAAUUCGACAAAAUCAAUCUCUGGAAAGGGUUGCAGAGCCUCAAAGUCCCCUGUGAAUACAACCUUCAUAAAAAGAUGCUUCACCUCACUUGCCAAUUUCAGCAUUUUACAUAUUGCAUCACAGCACCACUGGACUCCUCGCAUCGACAGGAACUCCAGAACAUUGAGGUUUCCGAAAUCUAUCAUGUAUACCCUCCCUGGAAACAAUUAACAUGAGAUGAAAGAAAUAUAAGAACAAGAAAACACAGCCAGUAAGAAAAAACUAUAUGUACAA
Non-coding RNA from Arachis ipaensis, 1179 nucleotides. Lineage: Eukaryota; Viridiplantae; Streptophyta; Magnoliopsida; Fabales; Fabaceae. The record is from RefSeq and is a predicted model, not a curated record.